AAGCCUGACUCCACGAUGCCCGUGAAUUCAGAGAAUAUGGCCUCUUGUUUCUGGUCGAAUUAGUUCCCUGUGUCUGCUCCUCCCCUGUGACUGCUUAGAUUUGGGAAUUUGAAGAACCUCAGUGUCAAUCGAGAGCACUUUAGAGCAGGAAGCACCCGCCCAAGAGGACAGUCAGACACCCAGUCCCAGCCCCAUGGACGCACUUCCAGGCCUUGCUGUGAGCUGGAUAAGACACCCACCCUUCCCUGGAUUACCUUUUUCUCCCUCCACACCAGGAGGUAACUUUGUGACUACACAAGGGUAGAGUCAAAUUCAAGAGGCUGAGACCCUGGUGGCUGAAGGAGGACAGGUCACACUGCACAGCUCUCAGUGAUGAUGGUGCAACACUUUCCCAUGAGGCUUUCCAGCCAUGGUACCCAGAAGCCCUCAGAUGGCCUCAUCAUUGACGUGGCAGUGGAAACACGGAAGCAAGGUUCUCUCAAUUCAAAUUUCCCUUAACUCAUAUAAAACAAUGCCGGAAAAAUCCCUGGACACCAGCGUGCCUCCUCUCCAAGGAGACUUGAGUGGACAAAGACAGGGAUUCAGAAAGACCCGGCCACCUCCUGUGGAUGCACAGAUGAUGACUUAUGUCUGGAGCCCAGGCAGGGGUGCAAAUUCUCUUCCUGCGGAAGCAGACCGCCCAUCUCUCCAGGCCAGCUCUGUGACUGAAGUGCUGAGUGCCCUCGAGCACAUCUCCGAGCCUGGCUUUCCUCGUCUCGAAUCCACCUCACAGGCUGUACGGUCGCAGUCCGACUGAAAUUCUGUGAAAGCUGUAAUGUGCCGUAUAAAUGAAAAAUUACUUACUAGAGCCCUUGAGGCAAAGAAAAGGUGUCAGGACCUUCCGGUGUAGGAAAUGACCCUCUGGCCAUUCGCAGGAGAGCUCAGGGUCUAGGGCCUGGGUGGACAAGCCAGCGGGAGGGGGCAGGAAGGUGUGAUACUGCAACGGGUGCAGGCUUGCUCCGGGUUUGCCUCUGGUCUGCAGGGUGGGCGGCUGGGUGGGCUGCUGGGACUUCUCUUUCCACAUCACGUGACUCAUCAAGUGGGAAAUGGGCAGAGUCCCUGUCUUCAUUUAUCCAAAGCCUUUGACUCUUUCCCCUGGACACGGGAUCACGUUUAGAUGCCGUAAGUGGAGACCGUCUGGCUUAACUUAGUCCUUUUCUGGCCUGAUCACUUUGUUGGCAGAGGGCCUGCUGUUGAUCGUUCACAAUCCUCCCACUCAGGGCAGCUGAAAUCCCUGGAUUCCCUCAGGGCCGAGAAAGUGGUGGGACAAAGACAGAGAGACAGACAUUGAGGCUGCAAAAUUCUGAUGAGUCUGGAAUGAGUGGAUCUCUCUUCACUGCUGGGGGAGGUGGCUGUGACAGUGAGGUCAUAUGCAUACUAGCGAAUGUGGAAAUGAGGUGCUGUCGACGUGCGCCCGUCACAGCUGUGAUUCCUGAAGACAGUGGCCGGAGAAUCACUGGUCCUGUCGUCUGCUCCCCACUGUUAGGCUGAGAAAAGGAGGAAGAGCCAGUAACACCGAGAAGACCACAGCCACGGCUGAAGCUGUUUCCUGGUGCCCUGUUUGUCUGUGUUUUUUCAUGACUUUGCCAUCAUUUUGG
Molecule: long non-coding RNA, 1637 nt
Organism: Capra hircus (goat)
Lineage: Eukaryota; Metazoa; Chordata; Mammalia; Artiodactyla; Bovidae
Exons: 6
Source: RefSeq, a predicted model, not a curated record